GCGGCCCGCCCUUCCCGUCCACCGGCGGCAGAGGACCUUCCAGCCGCACCUGCCCCCCUUCCUCGUCUCCUCCUCCCUCCUCUUCCCGGCUCCCCCGCCUCCUGGCGGCGCCGAGGCCUCGAUGCGGACGCUCGAUGAAGCUCACGGGCGAGCGUUCCUGUGGCUUCCCCAACCAGGCAGCCGAGUUUCUCCGGCCCCGCCGCGCUGCGCCUCCGGAUGUCCCGGCCCACCCCGUGAGCGAAGGUAAGAGGGCUGCACCUUCAAUUGGUUUGGCGCAGCAGAAAUCGCUCGGAUCUGAAUGUCGCCGUGCACCUUCUGCUUGCAGUUGCUUGCGUCUUGUGGAAAUCAUUCAGUUGAUAGUUAGGCUCUUGCUCUCCAAAAAAAUAAAAUAAAAUAAAAAUCUAGUUGAUAGUUGUUUGGUUGUGGUGAACCAGCUGGAAACCUCAAAUCACUUACUUUGCAUAUAAAACGCUUGAAAUACGAACAACAAAAUUUAGGCGGCAGUAGUAGCAUCUUCAGUAUGAAUGCUGGACUAUUUUCACUGCAUUUACUCAACCUGCUUCAGUGGUGGAAACAUGGCCGAACCCUUUUCCCAAGGAGAAAAAGAUUGGGAAGUAAUUUUUAGAUGUUACAAAUUUGUCUCUUUGGAAUCAUAAGUACAUUUGCUGCGAUAACAGGAAAUGAAUAGAAAAAAUUGAUUCUCAUUUGAGUAACUUUCUGCAUACUUUUUUUUUUCUUUUUUUGAGGAGAACUUUCUGUACACUUCCUAUCAUAUACACAAAAUUGUUUUUGUGGCCAGCAACUCCUCUAAAAGGUGGGUACUAAUUGCAGGAUCAGAGUUAGUUAGUCUCUGAUCUAUCUACAAUCUAAGAGUAUUCAGAAGAUAAACUAUGCUUUGGACCAAUGUCCUGAACAAAGCCUCAACUCUGUUCUCAAGAUCAACAAUGUGCAACUCCAACUCCUGCAUUUCCUCUUCCUUACAGACUAUGCUUUGGUCUGGAGGGCACACUAGCAGAACAAAGCCACAUCCCAUGUGAAUUAACAGUGGUUAUCACAUUUACAGACAUGAGUUUCUACUAACUUGUUUUAUGGUAGCCAAUGAUGUACAUCUUUUGAAUUAAUUACUUCCUUUUCCCGAUCAAACUUCAAAUGAAGAAAAAUUAAGGAAGAGUGCAAAAAACUUCCAACUUGAAAUAAAUCAAAACUUUGCUUUCAUUUAAUCGAGUAUUUUCUGUACACUCUUAUAUACAUCAAAAAUUGUUUCAGUAACCAGCAGAUCCUCUAAAAGGCGGAUGCUGAUUGCAGGGGAUUAGACAUCCUCUAUGAUCUAUUUACAAGCAAAGAGCAUUUAGAAGAGAAACUCUGCUCUGGAUCAACUUCCUGAACAAAGCCUCGGCUCCGCUCUCAAGAACUGAGCUUUUGCUAGCUGCUGCUGCUGCUUGUUUCGAUUGCUCAAGAACUGAAUGAUGACUUGUGGGAGCCAAGGCUGCGUUUUUAUAGCUCAAAUCAGCAUGGAGCCAACCUUUCGGCGAUCAAUGCGAUGCCUAGCAAAUAAAGAAAAGCUUUAGGCCAUCAAGAAUGGAAGCAGCAGUGUUGCCACUCGCAGUAUGUGCACACUAGCUAGCAGUUUCUUGUUGGCAAUCAAGCAUGGCACGUCACAUGGUCCACUACACGCAUGCCUAAAAGUGUCUUCUUGUGUGUGUAUUUCCAAAAAAAAAAGAGGUGUCUUCUCGCAGCAUCGAUCUAUCAUUGACAUGAUCUUGCUGCAAGUAGCUGCUGGGCCAGUGUGUCGUGAGGCAGCGGUACGGAUGCGCGGUACCUUGCACGGGGAUCAACAGUGUCUAACUCCAACUCCUGCAAUUGCUCCUCCCUACACACAACUCUGCUCUUCUGGAAUGUCUUGGAGACCAGAUACCAUUUGCUAACUCGGCGUUGCAAUUUGCCUCGUCAACAGAUGCACCAAGGACUCUAGCAUGGAGAGAGCAAUCACCCUGGCUUCAGACAACAGCUUGACCACCUUGCAGCUUUCCUGAUCAACUGCAGCAAAUUUCUUGCUGAUCUUCUUGAACUGUUUCUGUGCCUUAUUCACCAAUCGGAUGUGGGACUCUAUCAUGACUUGGACAGCUGCAUCAUCUCCUCUCUUGAGAACAGCUGCAUGUCCAGGAUAUUUUCCUUGAGCACUCCAAAGCUCUCUUGCAUGGUGUUGUAGAGAUCAAGCAAGACAAGUGAGCGUUCCAGCUCUUGCUCCACUGCUUUCCUCUGCUGUGUAACUUGGCUGCUGGGUAAGAACGCAAGCUCUCCGAUGUAGUUGUAGAUGUCUCCAAGCUUCCUGAAACCAUUGCACAUGGUUCCAAUGGUUACAGAUGAUGAGGAAAUUGUUGCCUUCAUGCUCUCGAGCUGCUCAUCAACAUCGAUUUCAUUGGAGUGAGGGCUGGAAGGUACGCUAGCAGAUCUGAGGUGGUAAGCCAUGGUAGUAGUGGAAAUUUUAGUGCUCUUUUGUUCUCUAGAAAUGUAGAAGGGAAGAGAGCAGAUGCAGAACUGCUUUAAUGGUGUCGACCGGGCUAUAGUUCGCCUCUUUAUAUAACCAAACAAGAUGAAGAGGUGGCAUCGUUCAUGGUAUCGACAACUAGAAUCUCAUUUAUGGGAGGUGCUGUGCUGCUGCAACAAAACCACCUAUCUGCACGACAAGCUGAUGCUUUUUGUUUGAUUGUUUGUUUAGGUAACAGGCAAAUUGGUGUGCACUGAGUGCCUAGUUUGAUGUUACAUACAGAACAUGACAUCGGCGAGGCACGAUAUGCAAUGGGAGGUGAAGAGCUGUCCCCGAUGCUUGUUGCUGAAAUUUGGUGGAGUGGUGGAGGCAGCAGUUGACUUCAUUGCUCAUGCGGUCAUGCCUGCUAGACUGUCGCCUGGUUCUGAUGAAUCCUCAUGCAGCAUCGCUGGCAUGUUCAAGUUUUUUUGUUUAAUUGUAGCGUGUAGCAUCUUUGGCAAUCUGUGUAGCAUCUUUGGCAAUCUCAAGGUGAUCCACAUACGUGUCGUAUAAUUUUGUGGCUCCUGUUGUCAGCAACAGUAAUCAUAUAAAAAUUCAUAUUUAUUUUUACUGGUUGC
Molecule: long non-coding RNA, 3105 nt
Filed under: Panicum hallii
Lineage: Eukaryota; Viridiplantae; Streptophyta; Magnoliopsida; Poales; Poaceae
Description: long non-coding RNA (PHAL_LNC000603)
Source: RNAcentral